RNAcentral lists this transfer RNA (65 nucleotides) under Macrogyropus costalimai. RNAcentral's name for it is "tRNA-Lys". The record is from RNAcentral. Lineage: Eukaryota; Metazoa; Arthropoda; Insecta; Psocodea; Gyropidae.
UGGAUUAAACCUAACCAUAAAACUAAAAAUUAUUAAAAUUCCAACAACAAAUACUAGUAAGAAGA